This 465-nucleotide ribosomal RNA is filed under the name uncultured bacterium. RNAcentral's name for it is "SSU rRNA". It matches the Rfam family "Bacterial small subunit ribosomal RNA", at positions 26 to 518 of the family's 1533-position model. The record is from RNAcentral.
AGGAUUAACGCUGGCGGCGUGCCUAACACAUGCAAGUCGAACGAGGUAGCAAUACCUAGUGGCAGACGGGUGAGUAACGCGUGGUCAACCUACCGUUGAGUGGGGGAUAACUAGCCGAAAGGUUAGCUAAUACCGCAUACGAGUCUCGGGGGCAUCCCUGAGCCUUAAAAGGAGCAAUCCGCUCGAUGACGGGACCGCGUCCCAUUAGCUAGAUGGUGGGGUAACGGCCUACCAUGGCACCGAUGGGUAGCUGGUUUGAGAGAGCGACCAGCCACACUGGGACUGAGAAACGGCCCAGACUCCUACGGGAGGCAGCAGUGAGGAAUUUUCCGCAAUGGGCGAAAGCCUGACGGAGCGACGCCGCGUGUGGGAAGAAGGCCUUCGGGUCGUAAACCACUGUCGAAGGGGACGAUAAUGACGGUACCCUUGGAGGAAGCCCCGGCUAACGUACGUGCCAGCAGCCGC